This 497-nucleotide ribosomal RNA is filed under the name uncultured bacterium. RNAcentral describes it as "partial 16S ribosomal RNA". It matches the Rfam family "Bacterial small subunit ribosomal RNA", at positions 28 to 507 of the family's 1533-position model. The record is from RNAcentral.
GAUGAACGCUGGCGGCGUGCCUAAUACAUGCAAGUCGAGCGAACAGAUGAGGAGCUUGCUCCUCUGACGUUAGCGGCGGACGGGUGAGUAACACGUGGAUAACCUACCUAUAAGACUGGGAUAACUUCGGGAAACCGGAGCUAAUACCGGAUAAUAUAUUGAACCGCAUGGUUCAAUAGUGAAAGACGGUUUUGCUGUCACUUAUAGAUGGAUCCGCGCCGCAUUAGCUAGUUGGUAAGGUAACGGCUUACCAAGGCAACGAUUCGUAGCCGACCUGAGAGGGUGAUCAGCCACACUGGAACUGAGACACGGUCCAGACUCCUACGGGAGGCAGCAGUAGGGAAUCUUCCGCAAUGGGCGAAAGCCUGACGGAGCAACGCCGCGUGAGUGAAGAAGGUCUUCGGAUUGUAAAACUCUGUUAUUAGGGAAGAACAAAAGUGAAAGUAACUAUGCCCGUCUUGACGGUACCAAAUCAGAAAGCCACGGCUAACUACGUG